GCCCGCGUGGUGGAGCUGUAGACAUAUCGGACUUAAAAUCCGUGGCCUUCGGGCGUCCGGGUUCAAGUGCUGGCGCGGGCACCA
Molecule: transfer RNA, 84 nt
Filed under: Paracoccus liaowanqingii
Lineage: Bacteria; Pseudomonadati; Pseudomonadota; Alphaproteobacteria; Rhodobacterales; Paracoccaceae
Description: tRNA-Leu
Rfam family: tRNA
About the family: Transfer RNA (tRNA) molecules are approximately 80 nucleotides in length. Their secondary structure includes four short double-helical elements and three loops (D, anti-codon, and T loops). Further hydrogen bonds mediate the characteristic L-shaped molecular structure. tRNAs have two regions of fundamental functional importance: the anti-codon, which is responsible for specific mRNA codon recognition, and the 3' end, to which the tRNAs corresponding amino acid is attached (by aminoacyl-tRNA synthetases). tRNAs cope with the degeneracy of the genetic code in two manners: having more than one tRNA (with a specific anti-codon) for a particular amino acid; and 'wobble' base-pairing, i.e. permitting non-standard base-pairing at the 3rd anti-codon position.
Source: RNAcentral